AGCAGCCGCGGUAAUUCCAGCUCCAAUAGCGUAUAUUAAAGUUGUUGCAGUUAAAAAGCUCGUAGUUGAAUUUCGGGGUUAGUAGAUUGGUCAUGCCUCUGGUAUGCACUGGUCUUACUGAUUCCUCCUUCCUGAUGAACCGUAAUGCCAUUAAUUUGGUGUUGCGGGGAAACUGGACUGUUACUUUGAAAAAUUAGAGUGUUUAAAGCAGGCUAACGCUUGAAUACAUUAGCAUGGAAUAAUGAAAUAGGACGUUCGAUCUUAUUUUGUUGGUUUCUAGGAUUGACGUAAUGAUUAAUAGGGAUAGUUGGGGGCAUUAGUAUUCAAUUGUCAGAGGUGAAAUUCUUGGAUUUAUUGAAGACUAACUACUGCGAAAGCAUUUGCCGAGGAUGUUUUCAUUAAUCAAGAACGAAAGUUAGGGGAUCGAAGACGAUCAGAUACCGUCGUAGUCUUAACCAUAAACUAUGCCGACUAGGGAUCGGAUGAUGUUAAUUUUAAUGACUCAUUCGGCGCCUUAAC
Molecule: ribosomal RNA, 519 nt
Filed under: uncultured Glomeromycotina
Lineage: Eukaryota; Fungi; Glomeromycota
Description: SSU rRNA
Rfam family: Eukaryotic small subunit ribosomal RNA
Source: RNAcentral